GACACGACUCUCGACAAUGGAUAUCUCGGCUCUCGCAUCGAUGAAGAGCGCAGCGAAAUGCGAUACGUGGUGCGAAUUGCAGAAUCCCGCGAACCAUCGAGUCUUUGAACGCAAGUUGCGCCCGAGGCCAGUCGGUCGAGGGCACGUCCGCCUGGGCGUCAAGC
RNAcentral lists this ribosomal RNA (164 nucleotides) under Seidenfadenia mitrata. RNAcentral describes it as "5.8S ribosomal RNA". It matches the Rfam family "5.8S ribosomal RNA". Rfam says of the family: 5.8S ribosomal RNA (5.8S rRNA) is a component of the large subunit of the eukaryotic ribosome. It is transcribed by RNA polymerase I as part of the 45S precursor that also contains 18S and 28S rRNA. Functionally, it is thought that 5.8S rRNA may be involved in ribosome translocation. Lineage: Eukaryota; Viridiplantae; Streptophyta; Magnoliopsida; Asparagales; Orchidaceae. The record is from RNAcentral.